UGAAAACUUAAAAUUUAAAAGACUUGACGGUACUUCACACCAACCUAGAGGAGCCUGUCCAAUAACCGAUAAUCCACGAUUAACCCAACCCAACCUAGCCUACAAUCAGUCUAUAUACCGCCGUCGCCAGCCUACCUUGUGAAAGCAAAAUAGUAAGCACAAUAGCACACACUAGUACGACAGGUCGAGGUGUAACUCAUGGUUGGGCACAAGAUGGGCUACAUUUCCUAACCCAGAAUAAACGGACAUACCUUGAAACAGGAAACUGAAGGAGGAUUUAGCAGUAAGAUAAGAACAUAAUGCUUACCCGAAAUUUGCAAUGAAGUACGU
This 330-nucleotide ribosomal RNA is filed under the name Psammophis sibilans. Its description in RNAcentral is "partial 12S ribosomal RNA". The record is from RNAcentral. Lineage: Eukaryota; Metazoa; Chordata; Lepidosauria; Squamata.